Molecule: ribosomal RNA, 315 nt
Filed under: uncultured eukaryote
Lineage: Eukaryota
Description: partial 18S ribosomal RNA
Rfam family: Eukaryotic small subunit ribosomal RNA
Source: RNAcentral
CCCUUAGACGUUCUGGGCCGCACGCGCGCUACACUGACCGGUGCAACAAGCAUCCGUCCUUGGCCGACAGGCCCGGGCAAUCUUUGAACGCUGGUCGUGAUGGGGAUAGACUUUUGCAAUUUUUGGUCUUCAACGAGGAAUUCCUAGUAAACGCAAGUCAUCAACUUGCAUUGAUUACGUCCCUGCCCUUUGUACACACCGCCCGUCGCACCUACCGAUUGAAUGGUCCGGUGAAGCCUCCGGAUUGGCGCGCACCUCGGUGCCGCCGAGAAGUUGGCUAAACCUUACCAUUUAGAGGAAGGUGAAGUCGUAACA